Desulfosporosinus youngiae DSM 17734 is the source of this 110-nucleotide regulatory RNA element. It matches the Rfam family "c-di-GMP-I riboswitch aptamer". From Rfam's summary of the family: GEMM was predicted in a large-scale screen for bacterial structured RNA regulatory elements. Genes associated with GEMM are involved in a diverse array of functions, including chemotaxis regulation, signal transduction, secretion and chitin. The record is from Rfam. Lineage: Bacteria; Bacillati; Bacillota; Clostridia; Eubacteriales; Desulfitobacteriaceae.
GUUCGGUUGGUGUAAACUUUGUAAAAGCAAAGGGCGCUAAAGUCAUGGGUCUAAGGCUAUUGGAAGCUGUCAACGCACUUCGAAUUUGCUAUGAUCGCCAGGCUACAAGC